RNAcentral lists this ribosomal RNA (441 nucleotides) under uncultured bacterium. RNAcentral's name for it is "partial 16S ribosomal RNA". It matches the Rfam family "Bacterial small subunit ribosomal RNA", at positions 338 to 795 of the family's 1533-position model. The record is from RNAcentral.
CCUACGGGAGACAGCAGUGGGGAAUAUUGCACAAUGGGGGGAACCCUGAUGCAGCGACGCCGCGUGGGUGAAGGAGUAUUUCGGUAUGUAAAGCCCUAUCAGCAGGGAAGAACAAUGACGGUACCUGACUAAGAAGCACCGGCUAAAUACGUGCCAGCAGCCGCGGUAAUACGUAUGGUGCAAGCGUUAUCCGGAUUUACUGGGUGUAAAGGGAGCGUAGACGGCAGCACAAGUCUGGAGUGAAAUGCCGGGGCUUAACCCCGGAACUGCUUUGGAAACUGUGCAGCUAGAGUGCAGGAGAGGUAAGUGGAAUUCCUGGUGUAGCGGUGAAAUGCGUAGAUAUCAGGAGGAACACCGGCGGCGAAGGCGGCCUGCUGGACCGCGACUGACGUUGAGGCUCGAAAGCGUGGGGAGCGAACAGGAUUAGAUACCCGUGUAGUC